UUGAACGCUGGCGGCAUGCUUUACACAUGCAAGUCGAACGGCAGCACGGGGGCAACCCUGGUGGCGAGUGGCGAACGGGUGAGUAAUGCAUCGGAACGUACCCAGUCGUGGGGGAUAACGCAGCGAAAGUUGUGCUAAUACCGCAUACGACCUGAGGGUGAAAGCGGGGGACCGUAAGGCCUCGCGCGAUUGGAGCGGCCGAUGUCUGAUUAGCUAGUUGGUGGGGUAAAGGCCCACCAAGGCGACGAUCAGUAGCUGGUCUGAGAGGAGGAUCAGCCACACUGGAACUGAGACACGGUCCAGACUCCUACGGGAGGCAGCAGUGGGGAAUUUUGGACAAUGGGGGAAACCCUGAUCCAGCCAUUCCGCGUGAGUGAAGAAGGCCUUCGGGUUGUAAAGCUCUUUCAGGAGGGAAGAAACGGUUGCGGCUAAUACCCGCGACUAAUGACGGUACCUUCAGAAGAAGCACCGGCUAACUACGU
This 482-nucleotide ribosomal RNA is filed under the name uncultured bacterium. RNAcentral describes it as "bacterial SSU rRNA". It matches the Rfam family "Bacterial small subunit ribosomal RNA", at positions 29 to 506 of the family's 1533-position model. The record is from RNAcentral.